This 429-nucleotide ribosomal RNA is filed under the name Gemmatimonadota bacterium. RNAcentral describes it as "Gemmatimonadetes bacterium partial 16S ribosomal RNA". It matches the Rfam family "Bacterial small subunit ribosomal RNA", at positions 355 to 776 of the family's 1533-position model. Lineage: Bacteria; Pseudomonadati; Gemmatimonadota. The record is from RNAcentral.
UAGGGAAUCUUCGGCAAUGGACGAAAGUCUGACCGAGCAACGCCGCGUGAGUGAAGAAGGUUUUCGGAUCGUAAAACUCUGUUGUUAGAGAAGAACAAGGACGUUAGUAACUGAACGUCCCCUGACGGUAUCUAACCAGAAAGCCACGGCUAACUACGUGCCAGCAGCCGCGGUAAUACGUAGGUGGCAAGCGUUGUCCGGAUUUAUUGGGCGUAAAGCGAGCGCAGGCGGUUUCUUAAGUCUGAUGUGAAAGCCCCCGGCUCAACCGGGGAGGGUCAUUAGAAACUGGGAGCCUUGGGUGCAGAAGAGGAGGGUGGUAUUCCAUGUGUGGCGAUAAAAUGCGUAAAUAUAUGGAGGAACACCAGUGGCGAAGGCGGCUCUCUGGUCUGUAACUGACGCUGAGGCACGAAAGCGUGGGGAGCAAACAGG